GAGUUUGAUCGUGGCUCAGAUUGAACGCUGGCGGCAUGCCUUACACAUGCAAGUCGAACGGCAGCACGGGAGCUUGCUCCUGGUGGCGAGUGGCGAACGGGUGAGUAAUGCAUCGGAACGUAUCCUGGAGUGGGGGAUAACGUAGCGAAAGUUACGCUAAUACCGCAUAUUCUGUGAGCAGGAAAGCGGGGGACCUUCGGGCCUCGCGCUCUUGGAGCGGCCGAUGUCGGAUUAGCUAGUUGGUGAGGUAAAGGCUCACCAAGGCGACGAUCCGUAGCAGGUCUGAGAGGAUGAUCUGCCACACUGGAACUGAGACACGGUCCAGACUCCUACGGGAGGCAGCAGUGGGAAUUUUGGACAAUGGGGCAACCCUGAUCCAGCCAUGCCGCGUGAGUGAAGAAGGCCUACGGUUG
Molecule: ribosomal RNA, 413 nt
Filed under: bacterium enrichment culture clone ALO1_GLFRUDD03GHU93
Lineage: Bacteria
Description: bacterial SSU rRNA
Rfam family: Bacterial small subunit ribosomal RNA
Source: RNAcentral